AUCCCUACUCCUCCCACUGGCACUUGCCUCCCUGGGUCAAGGUACUUGCCUCUUCUCCUUUCUGGUUUUCCCUGGCUAAGCAGAGUGCUCCCUCCCAGCAAGGUUGUAGACCUGGCUUCCAGAGAGCUGAGCACAGAUAUUUGGAAGGGAGGAAUGCAGGAAAGUCCCUGGAUUUCUCUUAGAAACACUCUCUACCUUCCAUUUUCUGGCACAAUUCCUAGUUGAUGUGUGGGCUUCUCUUCACUAACAAGAAGGGCUCUUCCUAGGCCCAAAGACUCACAA
Molecule: long non-coding RNA, 282 nt
Filed under: Homo sapiens (human)
Lineage: Eukaryota; Metazoa; Chordata; Mammalia; Primates; Hominidae
Description: HSALNT0242246
Source: RNAcentral